AUAAAAGUGAUCUAGGGUUCCGAUACAUAUUGAAUGUAUGACUGCGACCGAGAGUUCACGGCUUCGUUUUGAUUUAAAGCAGAGCUGCACGGAGGGAUAAAAGCCCGGGAGGU
RNAcentral lists this small RNA (113 nucleotides) under Acinetobacter sp. RNAcentral describes it as "Guanidine-I sequence". It matches the Rfam family "Guanidine-I riboswitch aptamer". From Rfam's summary of the family: This family represents a conserved RNA structure found upstream of the ykkC and yxkD genes in Bacillus subtilis and related genes in other bacteria. The function of this family is unclear although it has been suggested that it may function to switch on efflux pumps and detoxification systems in response to harmful environmental molecules. The record is from RNAcentral. Lineage: Bacteria; Pseudomonadati; Pseudomonadota; Gammaproteobacteria; Moraxellales; Moraxellaceae.